This 2815-nucleotide ribosomal RNA is filed under the name Staphylococcus aureus. RNAcentral's name for it is "bacterial LSU rRNA". It matches the Rfam family "Bacterial large subunit ribosomal RNA". The record is from RNAcentral. Lineage: Bacteria; Bacillati; Bacillota; Bacilli; Caryophanales; Staphylococcaceae.
AGGGCGCACGGUGGAUGCCUUGGCACUAGAAGCCGAUGAAGGACGUUACUAACGACGAUAUGCUUUGGGGAGCUGUAAGUAAGCUUUGAUCCAGAGAUUUCCGAAUGGGGAAACCCAGCAUGAGUUAUGUCAUGUUAUCGAUAUGUGAAUACAUAGCAUAUCAGAAGGCACACCCGGAGAACUGAAACAUCUUAGUACCCGGAGGAAGAGAAAGAAAAUUCGAUUCCCUUAGUAGCGGCGAGCGAAACGGGAAGAGCCCAAACCAACAAGCUUGCUUGUUGGGGUUGUAGGACACUCUAUACGGAGUUACAAAGGACGACAUUAGACGAAUCAUCUGGAAAGAUGAAUCAAAGAAGGUAAUAAUCCUGUAGUCGAAAAUGUUGUCUCUCUUGAGUGGAUCCUGAGUACGACGGAGCACGUGAAAUUCCGUCGGAAUCUGGGAGGACCAUCUCCUAAGGCUAAAUACUCUCUAGUGACCGAUAGUGAACCAGUACCGUGAGGGAAAGGUGAAAAGCACCCCGGAAGGGGAGUGAAAUAGAACCUGAAACCGUGUGCUUACAAGUAGUCAGAGCCCGUUAAUGGGUGAUGGCGUGCCUUUUGUAGAAUGAACCGGCGAGUUACGAUUUGAUGCAAGGUUAAGCAGUAAAUGUGGAGCCGUAGCGAAAGCGAGUCUGAAUAGGGCGUUUAGUAUUUGGUCGUAGACCCGAAACCAGGUGAUCUACCCUUGGUCAGGUUGAAGUUCAGGUAACACUGAAUGGAGGACCGAACCGACUUACGUUGAAAAGUGAGCGGAUGAACUGAGGGUAGCGGAGAAAUUCCAAUCGAACCUGGAGAUAGCUGGUUCUCUCCGAAAUAGCUUUAGGGCUAGCCUCAAGUGAUGAUUAUUGGAGGUAGAGCACUGUUUGGACGAGGGGCCCCUCUCGGGUUACCGAAUUCAGACAAACUCCGAAUGCCAAUUAAUUUAACUUGGGAGUCAGAACAUGGGUGAUAAGGUCCGUGUUCGAAAGGGAAACAGCCCAGACCACCAGCUAAGGUCCCAAAAUAUAUGUUAAGUGGAAAAGGAUGUGGCGUUGCCCAGACAACUAGGAUGUUGGCUUAGAAGCAGCCAUCAUUUAAAGAGUGCGUAAUAGCUCACUAGUCGAGUGACACUGCGCCGAAAAUGUACCGGGGCUAAACAUAUUACCGAAGCUGUGGAUUGUCCUUUGGACAAUGGUAGGAGAGCGUUCUAAGGGCGUUGAAGCAUGAUCGCAAGGACAUGUGGAGCGCUUAGAAGUGAGAAUGCCGGUGUGAGUAGCGAAAGACGGGUGAGAAUCCCGUCCACCGAUUGACUAAGGUUUCCAGAGGAAGGCUCGUCCGCUCUGGGUUAGUCGGGUCCUAAGCUGAGGCCGACAGGCGUAGGCGAUGGAUAACAGGUUGAUAUUCCUGUACCACCUAUAAUCGUUUUAAUCGAUGGGGGGACGCAGUAGGAUAGGCGAAGCGUGCGAUUGGAUUGCACGUCUAAGCAGUAAGGCUGAGUAUUAGGCAAAUCCGGUACUCGUUAAGGCUGAGCUGUGAUGGGGAGAAGACAUUGUGUCUUCGAGUCGUUGAUUUCACACUGCCGAGAAAAGCCUCUAGAUAGAAAAUAGGUGCCCGUACCGCAAACCGACACAGGUAGUCAAGAUGAGAAUUCUAAGGUGAGCGAGCGAACUCUCGUUAAGGAACUCGGCAAAAUGACCCCGUAACUUCGGGAGAAGGGGUGCUCUUUAGGGUUAACGCCCAGAAGAGCCGCAGUGAAUAGGCCCAAGCGACUGUUUAUCAAAAACACAGGUCUCUGCUAAACCGUAAGGUGAUGUAUAGGGGCUGACGCCUGCCCGGUGCUGGAAGGUUAAGAGGAGUGGUUAGCUUCUGCGAAGCUACGAAUCGAAGCCCCAGUAAACGGCGGCCGUAACUAUAACGGUCCUAAGGUAGCGAAAUUCCUUGUCGGGUAAGUUCCGACCCGCACGAAAGGCGUAACGAUUUGGGCACUGUCUCAACGAGAGACUCGGUGAAAUCAUAGUACCUGUGAAGAUGCAGGUUACCCGCGACAGGACGGAAAGACCCCGUGGAGCUUUACUGUAGCCUGAUAUUGAAAUUCGGCACAGCUUGUACAGGAUAGGUAGGAGCCUUUGAAACGUGAGCGCUAGCUUACGUGGAGGCGCUGGUGGGAUACUACCCUAGCUGUGUUGGCUUUCUAACCCGCACCACUUAUCGUGGUGGGAGACAGUGUCAGGCGGGCAGUUUGACUGGGGCGGUCGCCUCCUAAAAGGUAACGGAGGCGCUCAAAGGUUCCCUCAGAAUGGUUGGAAAUCAUUCAUAGAGUGUAAAGGCAUAAGGGAGCUUGACUGCGAGACCUACAAGUCGAGCAGGGUCGAAAGACGGACUUAGUGAUCCGGUGGUUCCGCAUGGAAGGGCCAUCGCUCAACGGAUAAAAGCUACCCCGGGGAUAACAGGCUUAUCUCCCCCAAGAGUUCACAUCGACGGGGAGGUUUGGCACCUCGAUGUCGGCUCAUCGCAUCCUGGGGCUGUAGUCGGUCCCAAGGGUUGGGCUGUUCGCCCAUUAAAGCGGUACGCGAGCUGGGUUCAGAACGUCGUGAGACAGUUCGGUCCCUAUCCGUCGUGGGCGUAGGAAAUUUGAGAGGAGCUGUCCUUAGUACGAGAGGACCGGGAUGGACAUACCUCUGGUGUACCAGUUGUCGUGCCAACGGCAUAGCUGGGUAGCUAUGUGUGGACGGGAUAAGUGCUGAAAGCAUCUAAGCAUGAAGCCCCCCUCAAGAUGAGAUUUCCCAACUUCGGUUAU